RNAcentral lists this ribosomal RNA (459 nucleotides) under uncultured bacterium. RNAcentral describes it as "partial 16S ribosomal RNA". It matches the Rfam family "Bacterial small subunit ribosomal RNA", at positions 338 to 795 of the family's 1533-position model. The record is from RNAcentral.
CCUACGGGAGGCUGCAGUGAGGAAUAUUGGUCAAUGGCCGAGAGGCUGAACCAGCCAAGUCGCGUGAGGGAUGACGGCCCUACGGUUUGUAAACCUCUUUUGUCGGGGAGCAAAGAGAGUCUCGUGUGGCUCAUUGAGAGUACCCGAAGAAAAAGCCUCGGCUAACCCCGUUCCAUCAGCCGGGGUAAUACGGAGGAUGCGAGCGUUAUCCGGAUUUAUGGGGUUUAAAGUGUGCGCAGGCGGAGGUGCAAGUCAGUGGUCAAAUUGCGGGGCUCAACCCCGUACUGCCGUUGACACUGCAUCCCUUGAGUGCGCGAGAAGUAUGCGGAAGGCGUGGUGUAGCGGUGAAAUGCAUAGAUAUCACGCAGAACUCCGAUUGCGAAGGCAGCAUACCGGCGCGCAACUGACGCUCAUGCACGAAAGCGUGGGUAGCGAACAGGAUUAGAGACCCCUGUAGUC